GUGCUUGCUUCGGCAGCACAUAUACUAAAAUUGGAAUGAUACAGAGAAGAUUAGCAUGGCCCCUGUGCAAGGAUGACAUGCAAAUUCGUGAAGCAUUCCAUAUUUUU
RNAcentral lists this small nuclear RNA (107 nucleotides) under Saimiri boliviensis boliviensis (Bolivian squirrel monkey). The record is from RNAcentral. Lineage: Eukaryota; Metazoa; Chordata; Mammalia; Primates; Cebidae.